This 301-nucleotide ribosomal RNA is filed under the name uncultured bacterium. RNAcentral's name for it is "partial 16S ribosomal RNA". It matches the Rfam family "Bacterial small subunit ribosomal RNA", at positions 509 to 807 of the family's 1533-position model. The record is from RNAcentral.
CAGUAGCCGCGGUAAUACGUAGGUCCCGAGCGUUGUCCGGAUUUACUGGGUGUAAAGGGAGCGUAGACGGAAUGGCAAGUCUGAAGUGAAAUGCCCGGGCUCAACCCGGGAACUGCUUUGGAAACUGUCGAUCUGGAGUGUUGGAGAGGUAAGUGGAAUUCCUGGUGUAGCGGUGAAAUGCGUAGAGAUCAGGAAGAACACCGGAGGCGAAGGCGGCUUACUGGACAAAGACUGACGUUGAGGCUCGAAAGCGUGGGAAGCAAACAGGAUUAGAUACCCCAGUAGUCCCUGUCUCUUAUAC